UUGUUGUGAGAAGUUCAUUAAACCUUAUCAUUUAGAGGAAGGAGAAGUCGUAACAAGGUUUCCGUAGGUGAACCUGCGGAAGGAUCAUUG
This 90-nucleotide ribosomal RNA is filed under the name Cheilolejeunea larsenii. Its description in RNAcentral is "partial 18S ribosomal RNA". It matches the Rfam family "Eukaryotic small subunit ribosomal RNA", at positions 1742 to 1831 of the family's 1831-position model. The record is from RNAcentral. Lineage: Eukaryota; Viridiplantae; Streptophyta; Jungermanniopsida; Porellales; Lejeuneaceae.